RNAcentral lists this microRNA precursor (96 nucleotides) under Manihot esculenta (cassava). RNAcentral describes it as "MIR397 microRNA precursor family". It matches the Rfam family "MIR397 microRNA precursor family". Lineage: Eukaryota; Viridiplantae; Streptophyta; Magnoliopsida; Malpighiales; Euphorbiaceae. The record is from Rfam by way of RNAcentral.
UGGAGAAACAUCAUUGAGUGCAGCGUUGAUGAAUUCCCUGCAAUUUUCUGGAAUUUGGGGAUGAUUUCACCAGCGCUGCAUUCAAUCAUGUUUUUU